AGAAGACCUGCAGAUCCAGAAGAAGAGCUCCGAUGGAUGUCUUAAGAAGUGCGUGGUUAUGUUGAAGCUGUUCUGAACAGCCUUGCUACCAAUGUCCCAAAAGCAGUUGUCCUUUGCCAAGUAGAAAAAUCCAAGGAAGAUAUGCUUAAUCAGUUAUACAGUUCUGUCAGUGCCCAAAGCACUGCAAGGAUUGAAGAACUACUUCAGGAGGUUCAGAAUGUGAAACGAAGGAGGGAGCGUAACCAGAAACAGUCCUCUCUUCUUGUAAAGCUCACAAAGCAGCUUAGCAUCCAUGACAACCGUGCAGCUGCUGCUUCUAGCUGCUGGUCCAAUGGUGGUGCAGG
This is an RNA transcript of Vitis vinifera (wine grape), 344 nucleotides long. RefSeq lists it as uncharacterized. Lineage: Eukaryota; Viridiplantae; Streptophyta; Magnoliopsida; Vitales; Vitaceae. The record is from RefSeq and is a predicted model, not a curated record. The transcript has 3 exons.